AGCGAACGCUGGCGGCAGGCCUAACACAUGCAAGUCGAACGAACCUUUCGGGGUUAGUGGCGGACGGGUGAGUAACACGUGGGAACGUGCCUUUAGGUUCGGAAUAACUCAGGGAAACUUGUGCUAAUACCGAAUGUGCCCUUCGGGGGAAAGAUUAAUCGCCUUUAGAGCGGCCCGCGUCUGAUUAGCUAGUUGGUUGAGGUAAUGGCGCACCAAGGCGACGAUCAGUAGCUGGUCUGAGAGGAUGAUCAGCCACAUUGGGACUGAGACACGGCCCAAACUCCUACGGGAGGCAGCAGUGGGGAAUCUUGCGCAAUGGGCGAAAGCCUGACGCAGCCAUGCCGCUUGAAUGAUGAAGGUCUUAGGAUUGUAAAAUUCUUUCACCGGGGACGAUAAUGACGGUACCCGGAGAAGAAGCCCCGGCUAACUUCGUG
This 434-nucleotide ribosomal RNA is filed under the name uncultured bacterium. RNAcentral's name for it is "partial 16S ribosomal RNA". It matches the Rfam family "Bacterial small subunit ribosomal RNA", at positions 29 to 507 of the family's 1533-position model. The record is from RNAcentral.